Long non-coding RNA from Canis lupus familiaris (dog), 842 nucleotides. RefSeq lists it as uncharacterized. The record is from RefSeq and is a predicted model, not a curated record. The transcript is spliced from 2 exons. Lineage: Eukaryota; Metazoa; Chordata; Mammalia; Carnivora; Canidae.
AGAAUUCUAUAAAGGAUUUGAGACAGAAGGAGGAUAGCCAUAAAAAGAAUAAAAAAAAUGACUAGCAUAUUCUAUGACUUCAUUUAAUCCUUACAGGAGCCCUGCGAGGAAAUCCUUAUCCCCUCCACUUUUAGGAGGAGAAAGAGAGCUCCUAUACUGUGAGUGUGACCCAUGUAGCUACACUAACUUCCAUCACACCAUACUCUACAUAUAUGUGCCCAGCUUACCAAGAGUAAGAGCUAAAAUUUAAUGGAUCAAUUGCCAAAAGGCUAGAAGAAGGGGCUGUCCUCUGAACCAUCAGAAUCAGCCACUACAGGAAAUGCACGAAGUUGUGAAUUGUCCACACUGGGAAUCGUGACCUCAGGAUACCCAAAGCACUGGGAGUGAAACAAGAAAUAAAUGCUGGCUUCUGGAAGGUUCAUUUAAAUUACUUAAUGGAUUGAAACAAGCAAGUGGUUGAUUUUUCACUUCAAAAAAUUCAGGACAGUUAGAUUUCUCCUCAUCUGGGUUGAAGAGGAACAAUGGCAAGAGUAAAAAGAGGGGAAUCACUUGGAUUUCAACUCUUUCUUUCAUGUUGCUAUACGGGCAGCCUCUCUCUUACAGACAAAUGGUAUCCUGGAGAGUGACUCUUUCUUUAAGUGCACAUAUCAUGACCAACUCUUAAAGAAACUUUACCUAUGAAGGAUCUGCUUUUCAAAUGGAAACUAUGUACUGAACUAUAUAUUAUUUUAAGCAGUUGAUGUUAAAUUUAAUGUUGUUAGUAGAUGAAGGCAAUGUUAACCAAAAUUCAAACCUGUGGGCUUUCCAAGAAAGAAACGUUAAAUAAAUAUAAAUACAUUAGA